CGUAGGUGGCAAGCGUUGUCCGGAUUUGCUGGGCGUAAAGCGCGCGCAGGCGGAUGGUUAAGUAGGAAGUGAAAGGUUGGAGCUCAACUCCAACAUUGCUCCCUAUACUGGCCGUCUUGAGUCCCGGAGAGGAAAGCGGAACGACACGUGGAGCGGUGAAAUGCGUUGAUAUGUGUCGGAACACCAAUGGCGAAGGCAGCUUUCUGGACGGGUACUGACGCUCAGGCGCGAAAGCCGAGGUAGCGAACAGGAUUAGAUACCCUGGUAGUCUCGGCCCUAAACGAUGAUCACUAGGUGUCGGGGGGUUUCCCUCGGUGCCGCAGCUAACGCAUUAAGUAUCCCGCCUGGGGAGUACGGUCGCAAGGCUG
RNAcentral lists this ribosomal RNA (368 nucleotides) under uncultured organism. RNAcentral's name for it is "bacterial SSU rRNA". It matches the Rfam family "Bacterial small subunit ribosomal RNA", at positions 526 to 896 of the family's 1533-position model. The record is from RNAcentral.